UCCCGGGUUCACGCCAUCUCCUGCCUCAGCCUCUCCGAGUAGCUGGGACUACAGGCGCCCGCCACCAUGCCCGGCUAAUUUUUUGUAUUUUUAGUAGAGACGGGGUUUCACCGUGGUCUCGAACUCCUGACCUCGUGAUCCGCCUGCCUUGGCCUCCCAAAGUGCUGGGAUUACAAGUGUGAGCCACCGCGCCCAGCCAAUUCUUACUUUUUUUUUUUAAGAGACAGGGUGUUGCUAUGUUGCCCAGGCAGGUCUCAAACUCCUGGCCUCAAGCGAUCCUCCUGCCUUGGCCUCCCAAAGUGUUGGGAUUACAGACGUGAGCCACAGCACUUGGCUUCCAAUGUUUCUCUUACCUCCAUCCAUUCCCUCCCCAUGUAUGUCACAACCCUAAUCUAAGCCACAUCUCCCACCUGGACUACACGAGGGUCUCCCUGCUUCCUCAUGUGUGCCCCUAUAAGUGCAUUCUCAUACAGUAGUCACGGUGAUCUUAUCCGUAAACUGAAUCAUGCCACUACACUGAAGCUGGGAUGAAAUCCAGGCUUGUAGUUUUAAGGAGCUUCCAGCGGCCAAAUCUGGGACAAUCUGAGCACCAAAAUAAUUAAGAUUAAUAACUAAUUAUAAAAUUUAUUGGAAAAUAAUAGAAAUCCAAGAGUCCCUAUGAAUAGUGAAUCUAAAAUAAGUGGACAGAAGAAUGCCAAGUGUUGACUAAUAAAUGUGGAGGGAGUCCUGGGGUUGAGUUACUAUUCUGUAACCAUCGUGAUUCUUAGGCAAGAAUCAUCAAUAGGUGUUAAAUCUCAUCUAUUUAACUUUUGAUGUGGAAUAGGAUAUAGUCAUGGUUAUAAAAUACCUCCUCAUAGAUUACUUGUUACAAGGGAAAAAUAGUAACUCUAGAUUGGAGAAAUCAAAUAACCUUGACUUGGUGAUCAAAAUUAAAAUCACCAAGGAGGGGCUGGGUGUGGUGGCUCACGCCUGUAAUCCCAGCACUUUGGGAGGCCGAGGCAGGCGGAUCACCUGAGGGCAGGAGUUCAAGACUAGCCUGGCCAACAUGGCGAAACCCAGUCUCUACUAAAAAAUACAAAAAUUAGCUGGGCAUGGUGGUGGGUACCUGUAAUCCCAGCUACUAGGGAGGCUGAAGCAGGGAGAAUUGCUUGAACCCAGGAGGCGGAGGUUGCAGUGAGCUGAGAUCACACCACUGCACUGCACUCCAGCCUGGGCAACAGAGCAAGACUCUGUUUUAAAAAAAAUCACCACGGAGGAACAGACAGACAUGUGUGGCUUUAGCUGUUACACUGAGAAGGACACAGUAUCACUUACACAGUCUUCCAGCCAGGAAUGCAUAAUCCAUAUAUUAUAAUGAAGAAACAAGUAGACAAACCCCAAAUGAAGAAUGUUCUAUUAAGAUAAAGGGGAAGAUUGAAUUCUUCAAUAAUAUCAACACCAUGCAGACAAAGAAAGGCUAACCAUUCCCGAUUAAGGGAUACUAGAGAGAAACAACAACCGAAUGCAAUACAGCAUUCUUAGACUUGAUCCUGUGCUAGAGGAGAAAUGGCAUCUAAAGGGUGUUACUGAGACAAGUGACAAAGUAACUUUGAUACCACAUUGGAUCAGUGUGAAAUUUAAUGCAGUGGAUAACUGUACUGUGGGAGGAAACACACUAUUUAGGGGUAGAGGAACAUGAGGUCUGCAACUUAUUCUCAACUAGAUUGGAAUCAAAGUCAUCUGUAUAUACCUUAAAUAGAGAGAUGGCCAGUGACAGAGAAAUGGGGUAAAAUGUGAACACCAGGUGAAUUUGGGACAAAGGCUAUGCAGAUGUCCAUUGUACUAUUCUUGAGACUUUUCUGUAACUUUGAAAUUAUUUCCAAAUAAAAAGUUAAACCAGGAAGGGCAUGGUGGCUCAUGCCUGUAAUCCCUUUGGGGAUUUGUAAGCACUUUGGGAAGCAGAGGAGGGUGGAUCACUUGAGGUCAAGAGUUCGAGACCAGUCUGGCCAAUAUGGUGACACUCUCUCUCUACUAAAAAUACAAAAAUUAGCCAGGUGUAGUGGCAGGCACCUGUAAUCCAGCUACUUGAGAGCCUAAGGUGGGAGAAUCGCUUGAACCUCGGAGGUAGAGGUUGCAAUGAGCCAAGAUCACACCACUGCACUCCAGCCUGGGGACAGAGUGAGUCUGUGUCUCAAAUUUAAGAAAAAAAAAAAAAAAAGUUAACCUAAAGCCUCCAGGCUCCUUACUGUGGCCCACCAGGCUCUGCCAUCACCCCCGCCCAGGCCACCUGGCUUUAUCUCAGCCCAAGCCCCUGCAUGCUCAGCUCCCACUAUAAGGAUUGCCUUUCAGUUUCCCCACCAUACCAAGCUCUUUCCCACCCUUGGGUCUUUUGUGCCUACUCUUGCUUGUCUAUGGAAUUCUCCUCCCCAAUUCAGAUCUCAGGGAGACAGUAAUUGUCACUUUCUCACAAUGACCUUCUUUGACCAUCUUAAUCUAAUUUAGAUCUACAAUAUGCUUUCAUGGCACCAAGAACUUUUCCUUCAUGACACUUAUCACAGUUUAUAAGAGUGUAUUUUGGGGGAUUGCAUGACGUCUGUCUUCUCCAACAGCCUGGAUGCUCCCUGAAGCCAGGAAUCCUGUUUGUUCUACUCAUGAAUGCAUCUUUCCACCCCAGCGGCUGGACCUGGCAUGCAGCUGGGCAUUCCAUAGCCAGCUGACUGAUUAAAUGGUGAAUUCCACUCUCCAAAUUCACCCCCAGACUGUUGGUAGCGCUCAGAGAACACACUCUGUGGUCUAUCUCUAGCCCUGAGAACUCAUUCAAGAGGCUUCGUCUUUGAAGCCUUUCUAAAUUCCCCACCACUAUGCCACAAUUUGGAACUAAGAGGCCAUGGCAGGGAGGAGGUGGCACUUUGGAAGCAAGCCGUGUUAGGGGAGACAUCACGAAUGAGACCCAGAGAGGGGAUGUCAAGGAGGCAGCUGGCUGCUCAGGCUGGCGCUCAGAGGGGCAGUCUGGGUUAGACUACUGAGAAAGGACCAACAGCUGGAGCUGCGCACAUAAAGGAGAUCUUUCACAGACCCGUGCAGAAGAAAGAGUCUAAGGACAGGGCCCAAACGAGGCUGACUUAGGGCUAAGCAAGAAAAACAGCCCUGGAAGCAGAGAAGCAGUGUCCAGAGAAGUAGCAAUGAUAUUCAGAGACAGAAAAAGUUGUUACCAAAGGCAAGAAAGGAGGACAUUUAGGCACUGAAACCAUUUGGAUUUUCUUCUUCCUUGUUCAAGAUCAGCAGUCUGGCCCCUGGUGGUUGAGGCAGGCUGGUGAGGUUAAGAGCUUGGACUGUAAACUAGCCAGGCGCGGUGGCACAAGUCCAUAGUCCGAGCUACUCGAGAGGCUGAGGCACGAGAAUCACUUGAACCUGGGAGGAGGAGGUUGCAGUGAGCCAAGAUUGUGCCACUGCACUCCAGCCUGGGUGAUAGAGUGAGACUCCGGCUCAAAAAAAAAAAAAAAAAAAAAAAGAGCUUGGACUGUGUCUGAAUCCUGACUUCAUGAUAUAUUAAUAUCAGUUGUGUGACCUUGGACAAUGGACUUGACUUUCUGAGACUUCAAGCCCUCAUCUGUACAUUGUUGAGGGGCUACUGUCAGAAUGACAUGCGAUCCUCUCUGGAAGGCCCUUUGAGCCAUGUUUGGUCUACGGUCUAGGCAAUGAAUGACAUCGUGGUGCAUGCACAGUGCGAGAGGGUGCACUGGUUGCCGCUCACAGGAAUGUGUCCUAAGUUCAGCCUUUCACCAAUAGCAGUUUCAGACAAAAGUCAGAGCCCUCCAACCACCUUCUAUUACAUGUCCCCUUCCUCUGAUGCGGCCCCUAAUUAAAAACAAAAACAAAAACAUAUAGUGGGCAGGUUCCAUUUAACAUGAUCCUUCCUCUAAAGCCUCUUUCUGAAAAAUCAGUUUUCUCCCUGUCCCCAAGGGUGCCCCAAGUCAUACCAUGCCAGAGUUUGCCCUCAUGACUACAAUUAACCCUUAGCUGAGAGCAUUUUGCACUGUUUUCCAGCUACCCAUGGUGACACUCGCCUCAACACAGCUACCUUCUGUGGACAUAGGUAAGUAUUCUCAGGCCCCUUAUUUGGGGAUACCAUUAACGUCUGCCCAUAGCUUCCAACCAUCCCAUCUCUGAAGGCAAGAGAAGUGUGUGGCUACCAUUUCACAGUUUAGAAAGCACUUCCCCAACACAGCCUCCCUUUCAUCCUCACGACUGCCCGGUGAGGUAGAUACAGCAGGUAACAGCUACAGUGGUUUGCAUUUAUCAAGCACUUACAAUGUACCAUGUUCUAUGUUAAGCAUUUUCAUAUGUGAUCCCAUUUAAACUCAUGAAAACUCUAUGAAGAUGAUGUCUGCCACAAUCAUCAAUCAGUGCCACCACUUUACAGAAGAGAAAAAUGGAGUGGUUCGUAACUUGCCUCAAAUCAAAGAGGUGGUAAGUAAUGGAGCCAGGAUUCAAACCUCAGACUGACUACAGAGCCACACUCUUAACCCUCCUACAAUAUUGCCUCAAAAAGCAAGCAUUGACUCCCCACACAUUAUUCUAUCCAUUAAAUUGAAGCUCAGAGAGGUAAAGUGACUUGCCCAAGACCUCGCCACCAGGAACUGGCAGAGCUAGGAUCCAUACUUGGAUUCUCUGGCUCUGAGGCCCCUGAAACCAAAAAGGCAAGAUUCAAUGUUCUAGGUAAAAUUCCAGCAGCAGACUUGACUUGCCGAUGCUGCUCAGUCCAGAGUAGUGUUUCUUUUUCUUUCUUUUUCCUUUUCUUUUGAGACAAAUCUCCCUCUGUCACACAGGCUGAAGUGCAGUGGUGGGAUGUCAGUUUGCUGCAACCUCUGCCUCCUGGGUUCAAGCAAUUCUCCUGCCUCAGCCUCCUGAGUAGGUAGGAUUUCAGGCACGCACCACCAUGCCUGGCUAAUUUUUGUAUUUUUAGGAAAGACGGGUUUCACCAUGUUGUUCAGGAUGGUCUCGAACUCCUGACCUCGUGAUCCGCCCGCCUCGGCCUCCCAAAGUGCUGGGAUUACAGGCAUGAGCCACCGCGCCCGGCCUUUCUUUUUCUUUUUUGAGAUAGAAUCUCACUCUGUCACCCAGGCUGGAGUGCACAAUCUCUGCUCACUGCAACUUCCACCUCCUGGGUUUAAGCGAUUCUCCUGCCUCAGCCUCCCGAGUAGCUUGGACUACAGGUGUACAGCACCAUGCCCGGCUAAUUUUUUUUUUUUUUUUGUAUUUUUAGUAGAGAUGAGGUUUCACCAUGUUGGCGAGACUGGUCUUGAACUCCUGACCUCAAAUGAUCCAACCGCCUUGGCCUCCCAAAGUGCUGGGAUUAUAGGCAUGAGCCACUGUGCCCAGCCCCAAAGUAGUGUUUCUAUGCAGGAAAUCCCUUCUGGAAUUUAUCAGGAAAUCUGUAUGUUCUUCUGAAUCCCAAAAUCGAUCAGUCAAGAAAUUGGGAAAAUGGGGAAAAGCAUUAUAAUUCUCCUGUGAGAAUUAAUGCUUAACAAUCAACAUAGAGGCAUUCCUGGCUUAAAGAAAUCCACUGAUGCCAAAUUGAAAGCAAGAGAAGGCAACGUUGACACACAGAGUCUAAAGUUAAGGUACUGUAAUCCCGGUGCUCUGGGAGGCUGAGGCGGUUGGAUCAUUUGAGGUCAGGAGUUCGAGACCAGCCUGGCCAACAUGGCAAAACCGUGUCUCUACAAAAAAUACAAAACUUAGCCGGGCAUGGUGGCAUAUGCCUCUAAUCCCAGCUACUCGGGCGGCUGAGGCACAAGAAUUGCUUGAACCCGGGAGGUGGAGUCGAGAUCGCACCACUGCACCUGAGCCUGGGAGCUGCAGCAAGACUGUCUCAAAAAAUAAAUAAAUAAAGUUAAGGUAGACAUUUCCAGAAUAUGGGAUAAGAGUACCUAGGAGAUAAGUAGUCAAAAUACUUUUUGUAGCUGUUGACACACUAAAAGUAUAUUUGUGGCUGUACCUGUUGUUAAGAGCGAGUCAUUCCCACAAAUAUUAAUGUUGACGUGCACUGUGUUUUAUACAAAUCCUACAAAUGAUGUUCUAAUAAAUAACAAGUUUUGGAAACACAUAAGUCCUUAAAUUGGCAAUUCUCUCCCUCUCUCUUUUUUUAAGAGACACGGUCUUGCUCUGUUGCCCAGGCUGGAGUGCAGUGGUGCAAUCAUAGCUCACUAUAGCCUCAAACUCUGGGCUCAAGUGAUCCUCCUGCCUUGCCCUCCGAAAGUGCUGGAAUUACAGGCAUGUGCCACCACACUCAGCCUAAACUGGCAAUUUCAACUCGUGAUUCUGUGUAGUGUUGUUAAUCUUGUCAAAUAUUUGAACAUUUUGUUAUUUAAAUACUACCCAACAAUGUUCAUUGGCAUCUUCCAGUUACUGAAUAUUUGCUACGGCCUACAGAUCUUUGUAACUACUACUAAAUGUGUAUUUCUUAUUUAUUAAAAAAUACAGAAAGUGGCCGGGCAUGGUGGCUCACGCCUGUAAUCCCCGCACUUUGGGAGGCUGAGGUGGGUGGAUCACCUAAGGUCAGGAGUUUGAGACCAGCCUGGCCAACAUGAUGAAACCCUCUCUGUACUAAAAAUACAAAAAAUUAGCUGGGCAUAGUGGCACGUGCCUGUAAUCCCAGCUGCUAGGGAGGCUGAGGCAGGAGAAUCACUUGGACCCGGAAGGCAGAGGUUGCAGUGAGCCGAGAUCACACCACUGCACUCCAGCCUGAGUGACAAGAGCAAACCUCCGUCUCAAAAACAAACAAACAAACAAACAAACAAAAAAAAAAAACACAGAAAGUUAUGAAAAAUACAGAAUAACAUGCUUUCAGGAAUUCCCCCAAAUCCCAUUUUUUCAUUCCCAACUCCUGAAGAUUAGUUUCCCUUUUGGGAACUUGGA
This 6897-nucleotide long non-coding RNA is filed under the name Homo sapiens (human). RNAcentral's name for it is "HSALNT0385337". Lineage: Eukaryota; Metazoa; Chordata; Mammalia; Primates; Hominidae. The record is from RNAcentral.